Molecule: ribosomal RNA, 119 nt
Organism: Cicer arietinum (chickpea)
Lineage: Eukaryota; Viridiplantae; Streptophyta; Magnoliopsida; Fabales; Fabaceae
Source: RefSeq, a predicted model, not a curated record
AGAUGCGAUCAUAACAACACUAAUGCACUGGAUCCCAUCAGAACUCCCCAGGUAAGCGUGCUUGGGCGUGAGUAGUAGUAGGAUGGGUGACCUCCUGGGAAGUCCUCGUGUUGCACCUU